UGGCGGACGGGUGAGUAACGCGUGGGUAACCUGCCUUACACAGGGGGAUAACACCUGGAAACAGGUGCUAAUACCGCAUAAGCGCACAGGGCCGCAUGGCCCGGUGUGAAAAACUCCGGUGGUGUAAGAUGGACCCGCGUCUGAUUAGCUUGUUGGCGGGGGUAGAGGCCCACCAAGGCGACGAUCAGUAGCCGGCCUGAGAGGGUGGACGGCCACAUUGGGACUGAGACACGGCCCAAACUCCUACGGGAGGCAGCAG
Molecule: ribosomal RNA, 259 nt
Filed under: uncultured bacterium
Lineage: Bacteria
Description: partial 16S ribosomal RNA
Rfam family: Bacterial small subunit ribosomal RNA
Source: RNAcentral